This is a small nuclear RNA of Erinaceus europaeus (western European hedgehog), 100 nucleotides long. The record is from Ensembl. NCBI's taxonomy places the organism in Eukaryota, Metazoa, Chordata, Mammalia, Eulipotyphla, Erinaceidae.
UUGCUUUGGCAGCACAUGUACUAAAAUUGGAAUGAUACAGAGGUUGCCACAACCUCGGUGCAAGGAUGACAUGCAAAUUCUUGAAGUGUUACAAAUCCUU